RNAcentral lists this ribosomal RNA (458 nucleotides) under uncultured bacterium. RNAcentral's name for it is "bacterial SSU rRNA". It matches the Rfam family "Bacterial small subunit ribosomal RNA", at positions 340 to 786 of the family's 1533-position model. The record is from RNAcentral.
UACGGAAGGCAGCAGUGGGGAAUAUUGCACAAUGGGCGCAAGCCUGAUGCAGCCAUGCCGCGUGUAUGAAGAAGGCCUUCGGGUUGUAAAGUACUUUCAGUCGUGAGGAAGGUGUUAAGGUUAAUAACCUUAGCAAUUGACGUUAGCGACAGAAGAAGCACCGGCUAACUCCGUGCCAGCAGCCGCGGUAAUACGGAGGGUGCGAGCGUUAAUCGGAAUUACUGGGCGUAAAGGGCACGCAGGCGGUUAAUUAAGUUGGAUGUGAAAUCCCCGGGCUUAACCUGGGAAUGGCAUUCAAGACUGGUUAGCUAGAGUCUUGUAGAGGGGGUAGAAUUCCAUGUGUAGCGGUGAAAUGCGUAGAGAUGUGGAGGAAUACCGGUGGCGAAAGGCGGCCCCCUGGGACAAAGGACUGGACGCUCAUGUGCGAAAGCGUGGGGAGCAAACAGGGAUUAGAUACC